AUGCCUGGAGCCAAGGGUGAAAUUGGAGUUAAGGGUGAGACAGGACCCAGAGGCUUGACGGGAAUGCAAGGUCUUCCAGGACCUCAAGGAGAGCCCGGUCCUCCAGGUGAAGCUGGCAUGGAGGGAGUCCCAGGACCAAAGGUCAUUGGCCAUCCUCAUUGACAAUCCUUUCAUUAACACUGAAGGAAAUUCUCUUUUCUUAAAUUUUCACUUCAUGUCCAAUAGGGGGAUAGGGGCGAAAGAGGACCAGUUGGGCCUCCUGGUAUUGUUGGCUCGCCUGUAAGUUUCUUUAUGAUUCUUUAUUUCAGACUUUUAUUUACAGAUAUUUAUUUUUCUGCUAUAAUCAGGUCAAAGAAACCCUUUUUCUUAGGAAAAUAU
This 378-nucleotide long non-coding RNA is filed under the name Carassius auratus (goldfish). RNAcentral describes it as "lncRNA (ENSCARG00000027168.1)". Lineage: Eukaryota; Metazoa; Chordata; Actinopteri; Cypriniformes; Cyprinidae. The record is from RNAcentral.